RNAcentral lists this ribosomal RNA (405 nucleotides) under uncultured bacterium. RNAcentral's name for it is "partial 16S ribosomal RNA". It matches the Rfam family "Bacterial small subunit ribosomal RNA", at positions 28 to 526 of the family's 1533-position model. The record is from RNAcentral.
GAUGAACGCUGGCGGCGUGCCUAAUACAUGCAAGUCGAGCGAAGCGGGGACUUGCGAGUAACACGUUGAUACCCUUCUAUCAGACUGGGAUAAUUUCGGGAAACCGGAGCUAAACUGGAUCCUUAUAGCUGGAUUCUGGCUGUAUUUGCUAGUUGGUAAGUUAACGGCUUACCAAGGCAACGAUGCAUAGCAGACCUGAGAGGGUGAUCGGCCAAAUUGGAACUGAGACAGGGUCCAGACUCCUACGGGAGGCAGCAGUAGGGAAUCUUCCGCAAUGGGCGAAAGCCGGACGGAGCAACGCCGCGUGGGUGAUGAAGGUCUUCGGAUCGUAAAACUCUGUUAUUAGGGAGGCGGUACCUAAUCAGAAAGCCACGGCUAACUACGUGCCAGCAGCCGCGGUAAUAC